CAGAGAGUAGUUUAAUCAAAAUUCUAGUUUUGGGGACUAGCGAUGAGAGAGUCUCUUCUUUCUGA
Molecule: transfer RNA, 65 nt
Filed under: Coleonyx mitratus
Lineage: Eukaryota; Metazoa; Chordata; Lepidosauria; Squamata; Eublepharidae
Description: tRNA-Pro
Source: RNAcentral